GACGAACGCUGGCGGCGUGCCUAAUACAUGCAAGUAGAACGCACAGUUUAUACCGUAGCUUGCUACACCAUAGACUGUGAGUUGCGAACGGGUGAGUAACGCGUAGGUAACCUGCCUGGUAGCGGGGGAUAACUAUUGGAAACGAUAGCUAAUACCGCAUAAUAUUAAUUAUUGCAUGAUAAUUGAUUGAAAGAUGCAACUGCAUCACUACCAGAUGGACCUGCGUUGUAUUAGCUAGUAGGUGAGGUAACGGCUCACCUAGGCGACGAUACAUAGCCGACCUGAGAGGGUGAUCGGCCACACUGGGACUGAGACACGGCCCAGACUCCUACGGGAGGCAGCAGUAGGGAAUCUUCGGCAAUGGACGAAAGUCUGACCGAGCAACGCCGCGUGAGUGAAGAAGGUUUUCGGAUCGUAAAGCUCUGUUGUAAGAGAAGAACGGGUGUGAGAGUGGAAA
This 457-nucleotide ribosomal RNA is filed under the name Streptococcus gordonii. RNAcentral describes it as "bacterial SSU rRNA". It matches the Rfam family "Bacterial small subunit ribosomal RNA", at positions 28 to 464 of the family's 1533-position model. The record is from RNAcentral. Lineage: Bacteria; Bacillati; Bacillota; Bacilli; Lactobacillales; Streptococcaceae.